GCCUCCCUCUUUCUUCGUGCUUAACACAUGCAAGUCGAACGGAAAGGCCCUGCUUUUGUGGGGUGCUCGAGUGGCGAACGGGUGAGUAACACGUGAGUAACCUGCCCUUGACUUUGGGAUAACUUCAGGAGACUGGGGCUAAUACCGGAUAGGAGCUCCUGCUGCAUGGUGGGGGUUGGAAAGUUUCGGCGGUUGGGGAUGGACUCGCGGCUUAUCAGCUUGUUGGUGGGGUAGUGGCUUACCAAGGCCUUGACGGGUAGCCGGCCUGAGAGGGUGACCGGCCACAUUGGGACUGAGAUACGGCCCAGACUCCUACGGGAGGCAGCAGUGGGGAAUAUUGCACAAUGGGCGGAAGCCUGAUGCAGCAACGCCGCGUGCGGGAUGACGGCCUUCGGGUUGUAAACCGCUUUCGCCUGUGACGAAGCGUGAGUGACGGUAAUGGGUAAAGAAGCACCGGCUAACUACGUG
Molecule: ribosomal RNA, 468 nt
Filed under: uncultured bacterium
Lineage: Bacteria
Description: partial 16S ribosomal RNA
Rfam family: Bacterial small subunit ribosomal RNA
Source: RNAcentral